This 397-nucleotide ribosomal RNA is filed under the name uncultured bacterium. RNAcentral's name for it is "partial 16S ribosomal RNA". It matches the Rfam family "Bacterial small subunit ribosomal RNA", at positions 523 to 918 of the family's 1533-position model. The record is from RNAcentral.
AUACGUAGGUGACAAGCGUUAUCCGGAUUUACUGGGCGUAAAGGGCGUGUAGGCGGUCUUGCAAGUCAGAAGUGAAAUUCCUGAGCUCAACUCGGGCGCUGCUUCUGAAACUGCAGGACUUGAGUGCUGGAGGGGAUAGCGGAAUUCCUAGUGGAGCGGUAAAAUGCGCAGAUAUUAAGAAGAACACCGGUGGCGAAGGCGUAUAUCAGGACAGUAUCUGCCACUGUGGCGCGAAAGCCGGGGUAGCAACCAGAAUCAUACACCCCGGUAGUCCACGCUGUAAACGAUGAUUUCUAGGUGUAGGGGGUAUAGACCCUCUCUGUGCCGCAGUUAACACAAUAAGUAUUCCUCCUGGGGAGUACGGCCGCAAUGCUGAAACUCAAAUGAAUUGACGGUA